GAUGAACGCUGGCGGCGUGCCUAAUACAUGCAAGUCGAGCGAACAGACGAGGAGCUUGCUCCUCUGACGUUAGCGGCGGACGGGUGAGUAACACGUGGAUAACCUACCUAUAAGACUGGGAUAACUUCGGGAAAUCGGAGCUAAUACCGGAUAAUAUAUUGAACCGCAUGGUUCAAUAGUGAAAGACGGUUUUGCUGUCACUUAUAGAUGGAUCCGCGCCGCAUUAGCUAGUUGGUAAGGUAACGGCUUACCAAGGCAACGAUGCGUAGCCGACCUGAGAGGGUGAUCGGCCACACUGGAACUGAGACACGGUCCAGACUCCUACGGGAGGCAGCAGUAGGGAAUCUUCCGCAAUGGGCGAAAGCCUGACGGAGCAACGCCGCGUGAGUGAUGAAGGUCUUCGGAUCGUAAAACUCUGUUAUUAGGGAAGAACAAAUGUGUAAGUAACUAUGCACGUCUUGACGGUACCUAAUCAGAAAGCCACGGCUAACUACGUG
This 497-nucleotide ribosomal RNA is filed under the name uncultured bacterium. RNAcentral describes it as "partial 16S ribosomal RNA". It matches the Rfam family "Bacterial small subunit ribosomal RNA", at positions 28 to 507 of the family's 1533-position model. The record is from RNAcentral.